CUUCUUCUUCUUCACUUUGGUUGCUUCCGGCUACGCGUGGGGGAAAGGGACUGCUUGCUCCUGCUCCUCCCAUGGCGAAUGACCACGACCCCCCAGGGCAGCAUUCAGUCUACUUCUACGUCACGAGUGUUCCAUGCAGGGUAAAGCACACACACGGUUGGGGGAGGCGGCCAUGUCCACCUUUCUUCUGCUGCUAAUUAAAACUCAUCUUUGUUAGCUGCUGCUGCUGCUGCUGUUCGUUCGUGCAUGUGCACCUCGUUUUUCCCCCACCUGCAAGAAGAUUUUAUGUGUCAGACCCAAGAAUUGUCCUCUAUCUCCGUUGCUUUUCAGGUAAGUCACUGGAUCACUUCUAUGUGGGGGAAAAGCCAUCGGCAAUCAAUCAUCACAGUUGGGGUCCUGGGGAGAAAGAGGUGGCACCAGAUGUUCGUAUUCCAGGACAGAGGGCAUCUCCCUUUUGUUUACCCGGAGCAGCAAGCUGCUAGCUAGCAAUUUCCAAUCAGAAAUCUUUGCUUCUCCAAUCCCGGACGGAGCACGUUGCCGCCGCUGAACCUGUCCGCGAUCAGUGAAGAACCGGGCUUUCUAUAAUGACACAGGUUUUUGGAGCAAUUAGCACAUCCCCGCUUGCUUCGUAUCGCAACGAUUAAAACCAACUGGUGCGUGUGCGUGCCCGUGGGGGUUAAUGUCACCAUCUGUUCUUCCUCCAUGCAGGACUUGCAGUUGGGCCGAGAUAAACCGACUUUUAGCUUUUCUUCUCCAGCACCUUGAGGCAGGUGGAGAAAGCUCGCUCACUGGUACACUCCAGGCGACCAUGCUGUCAUGGUGCAUGCAUUAUCUAGAAGGGGUGGGAGAUAAGGGACGGCAGCGGCGUGGCGAUUAGCAAGGCUGGCAUUAGAAGAUCACGGGGGUAGGGCGAGUUUGACGAAUGAGCGGGAGGCAUCUUUUCCGGGGUCCCCAACAGGACAUAGGUCCACCCCCUCCCUUCCUACAGCACCACACAGGCACAGGCCCAAGGUUUUGCAGGUUUGUGACCGUGCUCAAUCCGACGGCACUCUUGCCAUUUUCCCUUCUGAUGCACUUGGAAGAAACGGUAUCUAUUGCGUGAAGUGGAUGCGUUUUGGGAUAUGUGACAACACAUGGAUAAUUUCCACAUGCACGCCCACUUCUCCACCGAUCCAGUGGCCAGCAGUUAGAAUCACCUUUUUAAUCAACUAUAAAUUGUUCGUCAAGACUACACCAGGAUUGCCCAACCAUUUAUAGCUCUAGCUUACCUCCCUAAUGUAGUCUAUCCAGGAUUAAAAAAUGUAAUUAAGGACGAGAUCCAUGCAUGGCUCUCUCGCCGUCGUCCUUUUCAUG
Long non-coding RNA from Triticum dicoccoides, 1353 nucleotides. RefSeq lists it as uncharacterized. NCBI's taxonomy places the organism in Eukaryota, Viridiplantae, Streptophyta, Magnoliopsida, Poales, Poaceae. The record is from RefSeq and is a predicted model, not a curated record. The transcript is spliced from 7 exons.